Long non-coding RNA from Coregonus clupeaformis (lake whitefish), 1634 nucleotides. RefSeq lists it as uncharacterized. The record is from RefSeq and is a predicted model, not a curated record. Lineage: Eukaryota; Metazoa; Chordata; Actinopteri; Salmoniformes; Salmonidae. The transcript is spliced from 4 exons.
CACGCUGCGCCUUGGUCUACUCUCUUCGACGAACGUGACAUACCAGCCUUGUUGGAACAACGGGCAACAGCUGUAGGCUGACAGGGAAUCAUAGGGCCUGGUCUUCUGGCAGCUCUUCGGAGUGCUGCUGCGCUGUUGGCCGCUGGGCUGAUGUGAGACUUCCCAAAGCAAUGGAUGGCUGACACAAGCCUUGAUGGAUUGCCUUUAAUUGCUUUGCCAUUGCCACCAGUGCCUCACUGAAGUUGUCAACCAGGCUGUUGGCAGGAGCGCAAUCGGUUUGUUCCUACAAGCAGGUGGCCAUGUUUGCAACCAAACAUAGAAACUACUAAGAUACUUCUACUGAAGGUACAAUGCACAAUGAAGGUUGUAUAUUUGGAUGGUUCAACUGCACUCAAUAUUGAUGACAACACCAUAUACCAUUAUUUGAAAACAACUGUGGAAAACGAUAACCCAAACAGAAUACAAGUGCCAGUCUAAAUACUUUUCCUGUAUUCAUUCAUGAAGUGCAGAUGUACUGAACAUUGAUGUUUUAAGCUUCAUACGUUUUACUGGUGAGCUUGGAUCCCAAAGUUGGUGAUUGGAAUGAGCUGUAGGUAAUAGUUAGAAUCAUGCUGGUAAAUGAUAUGACAAUCUAUUUUAGUGGUUGUAGCAUGUCUGUGAAACAGUAAGUACUUGUUGAGUACAGGCAUGUUACCUGUGUCUGACUUACCUCUUGGCUGAUUUUGCUGCCUUUUGUCCCUCAGGGGUUGCAGGAACUCCAGGGAAAUGUUACAAUGAACACUGAUGCAUGUAUUUAUGUACAUUAACAGUACAUUCAUUUCAUGUUGGGUUUUAUAAUGUUUUGUUGGCACUGUAUUACCUCCUGAUGAUAUUUUAAAGAGCUCAGCCCGCGUCUCCAGUGUUGUGGGAAGGAAGUUGCUGGAGAAGCAUCCAAAGUUCUGCCCCACUGCAGCCUGGUGCUUACAUGGUGCUCCUGUAUGGCCUACUGGGCAGAUGUCUGAUCGUUGAAGAUUGCUCUCCAAAGCAAGGAAUCUAGACUUAUGGAAAGCCUCCCAACGUCCAAGUGCCACGUCUGUCACCUUGGCUUCAUAGUAGGUCUCCAAGCGGGAUGUGAGGAGAUCAAACAGCUGCGGCAGAUUGAAGGCGUUGGUCCUCUGGAGGAUUUUGUCUUUCAGGACUCUCAUGGCAGCUUCCACGUAGUUGUUGGCGUCAUUCCCACAGUCGUCAGAUAGAAAAAGACUAGGCCCUGCCUGACCUCUGACCUCUCCCAGCAAAUGCAUCCUCCGCCAAUGUCUCCUUCAGGAGCCCUCAAAAAUUGUAGUCUCAUCUUCUGACUGGGCGAAGAUGAUCCCAAGAGGAAGACCACCUGCACGUGUGCGUCAAUAGUAAAAACACUGCAGUUCUCUGUCCAUGUUUCCGGCUGAAUCAAUGAAACAUGGCUCCCCACUGUGUUUGAGCUGAUGGACCCGCUUCAUAAGGGGGGAGCAUAUGGCCACGAGAGGAGUUCCACCUGAAGAUGUUGCCAUCUUAGCACAGGUGCUGCUGCGUUUAAGAUUGUACUCCUCUAUCUGCCUCUACUGCAGACAUCAUGGAAGGCCCACUCUGUUCUCUUUCCUAAAGACUUUCUGAUACAA